Molecule: ribosomal RNA, 469 nt
Filed under: uncultured bacterium
Lineage: Bacteria
Description: bacterial SSU rRNA
Rfam family: Bacterial small subunit ribosomal RNA
Source: RNAcentral
GACGAACGCUGGCGGCGUGCCUGACACAUGCAAGUCGGACGGUUCUUGCACCUUCAAGCUUGCUUGCUGGUGCAAGGAUAGUGGCGGACGGGUGAGUAACGCGUGAACAUCUACCCAUUGGAGGGGGACAACCCGUCGAAAGGCGGGCUAAUACCGCGUAAGCCGCGAGGUGAGAGGCUGCCUAUUGGUGGCCGCCGAUGGAUGGGUUCGCGUCCUAUCAGCUGGUUGGUGGGGUAACGGCCUACCAAGGCGAAGACGGGUAGCCGGUCUGAGAGGAUGGCCGGCCACACUGGAACUGAGACACGGUCCAGACUCCUACGGGAGGCAGCAGUGGGGAAUAUUGGGCAAUGGGGGAGACCCUGACCCAGCGACGCCGCGUGAGGGACGAAGGUUUUCGGAUCGUAAACCUCUGUUGUACGGGAAGAAGGAUGUGACGGUACCGUACGAGGAAGCCCCGGCAAACUACGUG